RNAcentral lists this ribosomal RNA (468 nucleotides) under uncultured bacterium. RNAcentral's name for it is "partial 16S ribosomal RNA". It matches the Rfam family "Bacterial small subunit ribosomal RNA", at positions 28 to 507 of the family's 1533-position model. The record is from RNAcentral.
GACGAACGCUGGCGGCGUGCUUAACACAUGCAAGUCGAACGGAAAGGCCCUGCUUUUGUGGGGUUCUCGAGUGGCGAACGCGUGAGUAACACGUGUGUAUCCUGCCCUUGACUUUGGGAUAACUUCACGAAACUGCGGCUAUUACCGGAUAGGAGCUCCUGCUCCAUGUUGGUGGUUGGAAAGUUUCGGUGGUUCUGGCUAGACUCGCUGCUUACCAGCUUGUUGGUGGAGUAGUGGCUUACAAAGGGUUAGACGGAUAGCCGGCAUGAGAGGGUUACCGGGCACAAUGGGACUGAGAGACGCCCCAGAAGGCUACGGGAGGCAGCAGUGGAGAAUAUGGCACAAUGAGGGGAAGCCAGAGGCAACAACGCCGCGAGCGGGAUGACGGGCUACGGGGUGAAAACAGCUGUGGCAUGUGACGAAGAGUGAGUGACGGUAAUGGGUAAAGAAGCACCGGCUAACUACGUG